GUCUUGUCAAAUUCCGUACUGGUGUCACGCAAAGGCGUUGUGCCAACUAGCCUUCUUCAUCUGGAAGGCUUUAUUUUCUGAGAAACCGGUACGCAUUUGUUGUGUAACUUUGUGCUUCAAACGGCUGAACGUCUCGAGGCUCAAUGAUGUAACACUACUCUUCGAAUACGAGGAUGAGAAAAAGGUCAAGAAACACUUCGAGAAAAAAGGUGGAUUCAGCGGCAGUGCGGCUGAUGAAAACGGAGAAGUAACUGACCACGUCAAAAAGUUCAGAAUUCAUUUUCAUCGAAAGAAAGAAAACUCGAAAGGCGAAGCCACAGAAGGCUUCUACACUCAUGUCACCCUGGUCCGUCUCAAAGCUGUACUCGAUGUUGGACGCCGAGUGGCCCACUGGGCCCUCGCCACUGUUCUGGCCCGCCAGGGCACAUAAGGAGAAGUAACUGACCACGUCAAAAAGUUCAGAAUUCAUUUUCAUCGAAAGAAAGAAAACUCGAAAGGCGAAGCCACAGAAGGCUUCUACACUCAUGUCACCCUGGUCUGUCUCAAAGCUGUACUCGAUGUUGGACGCCGAGUGGCCCACUGGGCCCUCGCCACUGUUCUGGCCCGCCAGGGCAC
This is a long non-coding RNA of Rhipicephalus sanguineus (brown dog tick), 615 nucleotides long. RefSeq lists it as uncharacterized. The record is from RefSeq and is a predicted model, not a curated record. NCBI's taxonomy places the organism in Eukaryota, Metazoa, Arthropoda, Arachnida, Ixodida, Ixodidae. The transcript is spliced from 4 exons.